UAUGGAGGAGGAGAUGAAGGC
This 21-nucleotide unclassified non-coding RNA is filed under the name Chlamydomonas reinhardtii. RNAcentral describes it as "small RNA Cre_2396". The record is from RNAcentral. Lineage: Eukaryota; Viridiplantae; Chlorophyta; Chlorophyceae; Chlamydomonadales; Chlamydomonadaceae.